GGAAGGUGCAAGCGUUAAUCGGAAUUACUGGGGCGUAAAGCGCGCGUAGGCGGCUAGAUAAGUCGGGUGUGAAAGCCCUGGGGCUCAACCUGGGGAACUGCAUUCGAUACUGUCUAGCUAGAGUGUGGUAGAGGGAGGCGGAAUUCCGCAUGUAGCGGUGAAAUGCGUAGAGAUGCGGAGGAACACCAAUGGCGAAGGCAGCCUUCUGGACCAACGCUGACGCUGAGGCGCGAAAGCGUGGGGAGCAAACAGGAUUAGAUACCCUGGUAGUCCACGCCGUAAACGAUGUCAACUAGCCGUUGGGAGCAUUUUGGCUCUUGGUGGCGCAGCUAACGCGAUAAGUUGACCGCCUGGGGAGUACGGUCGCAAGAUUA
This 374-nucleotide ribosomal RNA is filed under the name uncultured organism. Its description in RNAcentral is "partial 16S ribosomal RNA". It matches the Rfam family "Bacterial small subunit ribosomal RNA", at positions 527 to 896 of the family's 1533-position model. The record is from RNAcentral.